UGUUGAAGAUGAUAAAUAGAUAAUUGAAGGUGAAAAUAAUAAAUUAACGAUUAUUGGUAUUAGUAGAAUAAUUUCUACAUCAAAAGUUAAGAAAAUUACAGCUAAUACUC
Molecule: long non-coding RNA, 110 nt
Organism: Octopus sinensis (East Asian common octopus)
Lineage: Eukaryota; Metazoa; Mollusca; Cephalopoda; Octopoda; Octopodidae
Exons: 3
Source: RefSeq, a predicted model, not a curated record